UGUUAAUAAUUUAUAUAAAAUAUUUUGAUGAAUAUUUAUAUAAUAUUAACAUAAUUCAUAUUACUAUUUUUUUUAGUAUAUGAAAUUUUACUUUGAGAAAAUUAGAGUGCUUAAAGCAGGCAUAUGCCUUGAAUACUCCAGCAUGGAAUAGUAUUAAAGAUUUUUAUCUUUCUUAUUGGUUCUAAGAUAAGAAUAAUGAUUAAUAGGGACAGUUGGGGGCAUUUGUAUUUAACAGUCAGAGGUGAAAUUCUUAGAUUUGUUAAAGACAGACUAAUGCGAAAGCAUUUGCCAAGGAUGUUUUCAUUAAUCAAGAACGAAAGUUAGGGGAUCGAAGACGAUCAGAUACCGUCGUAGUCUUAACCAUAAACUAUGCCAACUAGAGAUUGGAGGUUGUU
RNAcentral lists this ribosomal RNA (395 nucleotides) under Cryptosporidium environmental sequence. Its description in RNAcentral is "SSU rRNA". It matches the Rfam family "Eukaryotic small subunit ribosomal RNA", at positions 665 to 1064 of the family's 1831-position model. The record is from RNAcentral. Lineage: Eukaryota; Apicomplexa; Conoidasida; Eucoccidiorida; Cryptosporidiidae.